This 497-nucleotide ribosomal RNA is filed under the name uncultured bacterium. RNAcentral describes it as "partial 16S ribosomal RNA". It matches the Rfam family "Bacterial small subunit ribosomal RNA", at positions 28 to 507 of the family's 1533-position model. The record is from RNAcentral.
GAUGAACGCUGGCGGCGUGCCUAAUAUAUGCAAGUCGAGCGAACGGACGAGAAGCUUGCUUCUCUGAUGUUAGCGGCGGACGGGUGAGUAACACGUGGAUAACCUACCUAUAAGACUGGGAUAACUUCGGGAAACCGUAGCUAAUACCGGAUAAUAUUUUGAACCGCAUGGUUCAAAAGUGAAAGACGGUCUUGCUGUCACUUAUAGAUGGAUCCGCGCUGCAUUAGCUAGUUGGUAAGGUAACGGCUUACCAAGGCAACGAUGCAUAGCCGACCUGAGAGGGUGAUCGGCCACACUGGAACUGAGACACGGUCCAGACUCCUACGGGAGGCAGCAGUAGGGAAUCUUCCGCAAAGGGCGAAAGCCUGACGGAGCAACGCCGCGUGAGUGAUGAAGGUCUUCGGAUCGUAAAACUCUGUUAUUAGGGAAGAACAUAUGUGUAAGUAACUGUGCACAUCUUGACGGUACCUAAUCAGAAAGCCACGGCUAACUACGUG